GGGAAUGUGGUGAAUUUAUCAUUUGAGAUUGUCACUCUCGAGUUAGGCUGUGUGCUUCGUUCCCU
RNAcentral lists this transfer RNA (65 nucleotides) under Spondylus violaceus. Its description in RNAcentral is "tRNA-Asp". The record is from RNAcentral. Lineage: Eukaryota; Metazoa; Mollusca; Bivalvia; Pectinida; Spondylidae.